UCAAAUCCAGAUUCUAAUUAAUUUGUUCCUUUCGUCAGGGCUUGAGUCAUGGAGUAGGCUGGUGAAGAGGAGUAAGUAGUGUGGCUAGAGCAAAGAUCUGGCCGUGAUUCCUCGAGCGUCCGCCAUCGAAUCCAACGAGCCAGCAAGUUUCAUCACGCGCCGCGGCGACUCCAGCAAAUUCGCGAGCAUUUUUUAUACAAAGCCCCAGCCGCGGCGGCCAUGGGAAACGGUGGUGGUGGGAACAAGAAGGGGAGGAGAGACUCGCCGUCGCCGCCGCUCGAGACCCCCCCGCGCGGCGAGUUGCCGUCGACGUCGUCGUCCUCCUCCUCGCGCGCCACCAAGCGUCACCGCGUGGCGGGCAUGGCGGACCGCUACUUCCCCAACGACCUCCCGGACUUCGUCGCCGAGGCCCCCGACGGCGGCCGCGGCUUGCUGUCGCUCCCUUACUCCAGCCUCUCCGAAAGGCUCCUCCGCGCCGCGCUCCGGAUCAAGGACAAGGUCAUGGAGGAGACGUGGACCAGGGCGCGGCGACAGGUGACGGACUACACGCUCUACACGGGCGCGCUCGGCACGGCGCUCCUGCUGUUCAAGUCCUUCCAGGUCACCGGCAACCGCGCCGACCUCGCCCUCGCCGGCGACAUCGUCAAGGAGUGCGACGCCGCGUCGCGUGGCCUGCCACGCAGGUUCUUGACAUUCAUCUGUGGGAGGGCUGGGGUUUGCGCUCUUGGUGCAGUGAUUGCAAAACAUUGCAAUGACCAGCUGCUACUCACACACUACCUGAGCUCAUUUGAUGAGAUAAUAGUCACUGAGAAAGUUCCCAAUGAGUUGUUAUAUGGAAGAGCAGGGUAUUUGUGGGCUUGCUUGUUCUUGAAUACGCAUCUCGGCGAGAAGACAAUUCCCCAUGAGCACAUUACUUCUGUGGCAAAGGACAUCAUCGAUGAGGGAAGAAAGCUGGCUAAAAAGGGGAACUGCCCCCUGAUGUAUGAAUGGCAUGGAAAGAAGUACUGGGGUGCUGCUCAUGGGCUUGCUGGCAUUAUGCAUGUCCUCAUGCACACUGAACUCAAGCUAGAUGAGAAGGAUGAUGUUAAGAACACUCUGCUAUACAUGAUCAGGAACAGGUAUCCUACUGGCAACUAUCCAUCGAGUGAAGGCAGUGAAUCUGACCGCUUGGUGCAUUGGUGCCAUGGUGCCCCUGGUGUUGCUCUUACACUCGCUAAAGCUUAUCAGGUCUUCCAUGAUGAACAUUUCAAGCAGACGGCUGCAGAGGCUGCAGAAGUUGUCUGGAACCGGGGACUUCUCAAGAGAGUUGGAAUAUGCCAUGGUGUCGGUGUAAGCUGAGAGGUCUUCUUCGGUGAACCACUGAGGCAUCGGUGUUGAUUCAUCUGCAAGGUCCAUGAUCUCUUGUCCUUGCUUGGCAACUGGAAUCUCACUCCUGGAGAAGAGGAUGUAGAUUGUGCGCAAGAUCCUCCUCGUGUCGAAUCGGCCAAAAUCCGCCUCUGCUCUCCCAGGUUCCUACUCAGGAAGUCCACUGAAACUGAGGCUUUCCACAAGAGGUGGCACACCUAAGCUCACAAUACCACAUACGCGGUCCGGAUGGCAGAGGGCAAGAUCAUAUGCUGGUUUGACUCCAAAAUCCUUUGCAACAAGGAACACCUUUCAACCAUGAAAUGAUCGUCACUCGUCAGGAUACAGUACUUCUUUUCAAAAAUUAAGCCAAUUUACAAACUUAUCAAUAAUCAAGUAAAAUAAUGCAUGGAUGAAACCAUAACCAAUUUUGCCAAUGGGGCAAGUUCUAAUUUACAUCAGCUUCUGACUUAUUUCAUGUUUGCCAUAGUUAUCAAAAUGCGUUAGAGACUUGGGGUUCAUCUUAGCAUUUGCAUAAACUUUUAUUGGAUCUCAAUGUUUUCUCCUGCCUGUACUCACCUUGGGAAUCGACAGCGAGUCUAGAAUGGCCAAGAGGUCAUUCAUCAGGCCCUGCCAUGACGCCUGUGUUAGGUCAGCCGGUGGCUCCGAGAGGCCAUAGCCUGGGAAAUCAAGUGCAAUAGCACGGAACCCGGCUGCUGCUGCUGCAAUCAUCUGGUGCCUCCAUGAGUACCACACCUCAGGGAAGCCAUGAACGAAGAGCAGAGUUGCAGCUUCACCUGGAAUAACCAAAUCAAGAAGCUGAGCUGCAUUCUUUCGGAAGAGCAAAAAAAAGCAGAGAGAUGCUGAUGUCAACAAAAAUGAGGCUAGUAACGGAUGGAUGGCACAAAGAUGCGCACACUUUGUGUGAAGCAUCUUCUGCUGAUGUCUUCUGCUGUUUUUGUCAGUUUGUGGUAGCCAGAGACAAGAUGCUGAUGUCUUCUGCUGUCUGUAUUUUAAUACUCCAAGCAACGCUGCAAAAUGUUAACUGAAAAAGAUUCCCUCUGUACGUUCAUCAGUCAAAUAACGUUACUGAAUUUUCAUGGUCUAUAUUACUCGAUUUUGACUAUUACUUGUUCAAAUACAGUCAUUAAAUUGAUUUAUGUUAUCUUUCACAUGUGCUGAAGCUUUGGUUUGAAGCAAUUGUUUGCAUAAAGAAACCAGCAGUAACAAAUAGCAAACAGUUCGUUUUACUAUCUGCUUCAUUCUGAUAAAGUAGGGCUGUAAAAAAAGCUCGAAGCUCGCGAGCUGCUUGAGCUCGGCUCGCUGUAGACUCGGCUCGAGCUCGAUUCGUCAACAAUUCGAGCCGAACUCAAGCCUAGCUCCAAGCUUGCGAGCUUGACGAGCCGAGCUCAAAUAGCUCGUCGAGCCCAAAUUUCCCUCUGUCAAGUUCUUAAAUUUUCAAUACAACAGCUAGUACUACUCCUACUCCCAAUGAAAAGCUGUAUAGAAACAGAGCGUGCAGGGCUGCACCGUGCAGGCACUAGCCUACUAGUACUACUUUACUCUGCAGCACUAGCCUAUUAGUACUACUAGCAUGCAUGCAGCUCUAUUUAAUAGUACUACUAGUUGUCAUAUCAUGUUUGAAAAAGCUACUAG
Molecule: non-coding RNA, 3000 nt
Organism: Oryza sativa Japonica Group (Japanese rice)
Lineage: Eukaryota; Viridiplantae; Streptophyta; Magnoliopsida; Poales; Poaceae
Source: RefSeq, a predicted model, not a curated record